Molecule: ribosomal RNA, 309 nt
Filed under: uncultured bacterium
Lineage: Bacteria
Description: bacterial SSU rRNA
Rfam family: Bacterial small subunit ribosomal RNA
Source: RNAcentral
AAUCAACGCUGGCGGCGUGCCUAACACAUGCAAGUCGAACGCGAAAGCCCCGCAAGGGGUGAGUAGAGUGGCAAACGGGUGAGUAACACGUGGGUGAUCUGCCUCAGAGUGGGGGAGUAACGACCCGAAAGGGUCGCUAAUACCGCAUAACAUCCUGCCUUUGGAUAGGCGGUGAUCAAAGUUGGGGAUUCGCAAGAAACCUGACGCUUGGAGAGGAGCCCGCGGCCGAUUAGCAGUUGGUGAGGUAACGGCUCACCAAGGCAACGAUCGGUAUCCGGCCUGAGAGGGCGGACGGACACACUGGGACGU